RNAcentral lists this small RNA (791 nucleotides) under Vigna angularis var. angularis. Its description in RNAcentral is "Non-protein coding transcript". The record is from RNAcentral. Lineage: Eukaryota; Viridiplantae; Streptophyta; Magnoliopsida; Fabales; Fabaceae.
CUGGUUGGAUGAGAAGAACCUUACCCCUGCCAUCUAUGAAUACUACUCCCAGGAACAAUUUUCCAUCUUCCAUAACCUUGUGCCGCCAUUCUAUUCAAAACCUUGACGGCGAACCUGCGAGACUCAUGCCCUAGAAAUUUUGCUUUCUCGCCUAACUUUGGAGGUCAUUCUUGUUUGUAGGUUUUGAAUAAUCUAGCCCUUUCUCUGAUAAUGGGUAAAGCUAAAAAGGAUCCAAAGUUUGCUGUUAGGAAGAAGAUUGUCACUUCCAAAACAAUAAAAAGUUUGCGAUCGGUGGUUGUCAUUCACUUUUCGUGGUUGCGGUUACCUUGCUCUCACCAGUUUGUCUUCAUCUUGUACCUGGCCUUCGCCAGUUCGUGAGUUGUGUUUGUGUUUCUUUAUGGGAUUCGUGUAGUUUUGUGAUUCAUUCGUUGUGGAUAUGAUCGAGCUUCAUGCAAAUUGUGCUGAUAUUUUGUGCUCACUAUUGCUGCUCUAGUCUAGAUAUUAAUUAUCCGUUCUACUUGUUUGGAUUAUUGAAUAAUGUGCACAAUGUUACAAUUAUUCGAAAUUGAAGAUAAUCUUCAAAUCCAAUAGGUUAGACGAUUUGGCAAAAUCAAGUUGAUAAUACAAACUGCUUGCUGCUGUUGAGUAUGUCUUUUUAAUGAGGAAUCAAUUGGAUUGUACAUAGUAUGGAGUAUUGGUAGUAAAGGCAAAGAAUAGAUGUAUCAGCAUAAGCUAAUUCCUUUGACCAUGUAGUAAAGUUUUUCUUGUAGUAAAGGAAGAUAAUAAAUUUA